RNAcentral lists this long non-coding RNA (727 nucleotides) under Mytilus galloprovincialis (Mediterranean mussel). Lineage: Eukaryota; Metazoa; Mollusca; Bivalvia; Mytilida; Mytilidae. The record is from RNAcentral.
CCGUUAUUCAAUCAACUUAAACCUCAUUUCAUAAACCCCUUUUCUUCGAUAUCCUAUUUCUGGUUGCAACAUUUUGAAUGGGUUCAAAUUCACAUGACAGGUGAUGAAUGAAUAUCAGGAGACGCUUAACAUGUUGACGCUUCCGGUCUAGUUCCAUUUGAAUUUUUUGAGAUUCCUUACAAUUUUGUUUGUUACCUUCAGUUAUGUCUCAACUUCAUUGAUUUACUAGAGCUGAUCAUCGAUAAACUUCUGUCGUCUUUAUUAAGCAGUAUUGGAUGUGGUCUAGAUGAGGUAAAGUUGGUGCAAAUGUCGUACGGACUUUCUGUGCUGCGUCUGAUUACUUUUAGCACCUGGUGUAAAACAAGAGAAAGCUCUAGUAAAUAUAGAUGUUUAUUUCUUGAAAUCAGUAAUCAAAGUGACCGUUGAAAACAUAAAUUGUUUUCAUGCGGGCGUGGUCACAUGAUCACUGAUUUCUUAACUUUCUCCUGUUUUCACCAAUCAAAAAUUACCUUGUAAAGCUCCCUUGACCACAACCUAUUUUCACUGGUUGGUCAAUAAUCAAGUCAUGGGUGACAGGUGUUACAAACAAUUUCACACAUGAGUAAUAGGAAAAGGUUGUUUAACAAAAGCCUUAAUUUACAUGUAAGGUACAUAAUCCAAAGUCAAUAAUUUAGCGCUUACAUGUCUCUUUGUUAUCCGUCUUAAUUAUGUAAUCUAAAUAUUCAAG